RNAcentral lists this long non-coding RNA (1621 nucleotides) under Nicotiana benthamiana. RNAcentral's name for it is "long non-coding RNA (NBEN_LNC041080)". Lineage: Eukaryota; Viridiplantae; Streptophyta; Magnoliopsida; Solanales; Solanaceae. The record is from RNAcentral.
CUUCAACCCAACUCUUUGACUCGCCGGAUCGACCCAGAACCUUUCCCUACUCAAAUCUCAGCCAUUAAUUUAAUUUCAUAAAUGGCCAUAAUUAAUCCCUCACUCCAUAUAAAAUCUUAUUUUUCUCAAACCUUAAACCUAAAUCUCUAACCAUUUCGGUGCCCCCUCUUCACCCCAUGUCCACCUUCUAACUGGCCGAAACUCGCCGAAAACUCACUGAUUCCGGCGAGUUAACUCAUGGUCCCCCUUUUCCUUCUCUCUUUCUUCCACGUGACCUGACAAAUAACCGAUUUUGAUUCGAAUAUUCCCUUACCCUUCAUGAUCUGCGUUGAUUUUCUUUCUCGCACAUGAAUCUCUUUCAACGGUAGAUGAUGGACGACGGGUAGGAUAUGAUUAAUGAAAUCAUACCCCUCCAUUUGCCCAGUUUUUUACCGAAAAUGAGGAGAUUUUCGGAAUUUUAGAGUUCCUUCUCGGAUUUGGAGAUAAAAAUCGAUUGCUUGGUGAAGAAGCAUAGAAGGUUUGAGACCCCUUAUAUAUUGGGUUGGUGUUCUCAGAUUUAAGGAAGAGGUUCGGGAAAAAACAAGGGUUCUUCAGACGAAAAAAAAUUGGAGAGAGAGUUCGAGGGUUUUGAAGAGAAACUUGGAAGUUUAAUUGGGGGUUUUGCUUCUGUCUCUUCUACUUCCGUUUAAAAAAAAAUCAAAAAAAUAAAAAUAAAAAUAUAUACAUAAUUUUUCUGUUAUUUCUUUCCGUAUCGAUUUUUAAUUUCAACUAUGGAGUUUGAUUGAGGUUUGCCGUGGAGUUUUGGUUGUCGUUCGUGGUUCGAACUCGUGUUUCCAUAUUCGCCUGCCGCUAUUUUAUUUGGUUUUGUUCAAACUUGUCGACAUCGAAGUUAAUUGAAAUUUCAAACAUCCAGGUUCAUUUCUGUAUUCCCUGUCAAGUUUGGUUUUAGUUAGAUUCGAUCUCCCUCCGUUGCUUGAGUUCUGUUUCAUUUUCGUGAUUAAAUGUCUGUGGUUUUUAAAUCUGUUCUGUUGGACAUAUUGGAAAGACUGUUUUAAGUCCUUCACUGUCAUUCUCUCGUCACUUGUGGAAUUUUGUGAUAUAAGAUAUGAUACGGACUCUUCCUGUAGCUUAUCUCUCAAUAGCAUAACAUUUGCUUUUAAAAACUGUUCCAUUUUUAAGCUCACUCAACUUGAAAUCUCUAGUAUUACUGCUCUCGUAAGUGUCCAGUAAAUAUUUUUAAUUUGAAUGUAUUAGCCACUUUGUAUUUGUGGUAAUAGAAAUGAUUUUCUAUGUUUUACGUAUGCUCUAUUACAAUUUGUUAAUCUAGUUCGUGAGAUUGACUUGCAUCAAGGUUAUUUGAGAAGCUAUAAUGCUUAUUAUUUAUUUUUGUGAGUCGUCAUGGGUGGGAGCAGUUUCAAAAAAAUACUAUUAGUCCUAAUCUAGAAGAGCAGGUCAAUUUAAUCCACGUAAUAUUCCAACUGAGUUGCUACUCAUUUUCUUUUCCAUCCAAAUCUGUUCUGAGCUUUGUCUUGCGCUAAAAUUUUCAAGAGCCGGAUUCUUAUUUUUGAUUGAAAAAUUUGGGAAGGGCCAGCAUCAUAUUUUGUUCACUCCUUCGUCUAUU